GAUGAACGCUAGCGGCGUGCCUAACACAUGCAAGUCGAACGGGGUACCCGAAACGGAGACUUCGGUCAAAAUUUUGGACUACCUAGUGGCGGACGGGUGAGUAACGCGUGAGCAAUCUGCCUUACAGAGGGGGACAACAGUUGGAAACGACUGCUAAUACCGCAUAAUGUCUAACCGAGGCAUCUCGGAUAGACCAAAAGGAGCAAUCCGCUGUAAGAUGGACUCGCGUCCAAUUAGAUAGUUGGUGGGGUAACGGCCCACCAAGUCGACGAUUGGUAGCCGGACUGAGAGGUUGAACGGCCACAUUGGGACUGAGACACGGCCCAGACU
RNAcentral lists this ribosomal RNA (330 nucleotides) under uncultured bacterium. RNAcentral describes it as "bacterial SSU rRNA". It matches the Rfam family "Bacterial small subunit ribosomal RNA", at positions 28 to 337 of the family's 1533-position model. The record is from RNAcentral.